RNAcentral lists this unclassified non-coding RNA (213 nucleotides) under uncultured Pseudotomentella. RNAcentral describes it as "sequence contains ITS1". Lineage: Eukaryota; Fungi; Basidiomycota; Agaricomycetes; Thelephorales; Thelephoraceae. The record is from RNAcentral.
AUGAAAUGAAUGUUGAGAAGGGUUGUAGCUGGCCUUCUGAGGCAUGUGCACACCUUGAUCACACAUCCACCUCUUACACCUGUGCACUUUGUGUAGCUUGGGAUGUUUACAAUAUUAGAAAUGAUAUUGAAAGGUCCUAGCUAUGAAUUUUUAUAAACAUAUAUAUAACUAUAGAAUGGAUAAUGUUGUAGCGUGUGAUAGCGCAAAUAUAUA